Molecule: ribosomal RNA, 424 nt
Filed under: uncultured bacterium
Lineage: Bacteria
Description: bacterial SSU rRNA
Rfam family: Bacterial small subunit ribosomal RNA
Source: RNAcentral
CUCAACUGUUGAACUGCCUUUGAUACUGGUAGACUUGAGGAUAAGAGAAGAAAACGGAAUUCCUAGUGUAGCGGUGAAAUGCGUAGAUAUUAGGAAGAAUACCAAUGGCGAAAGCAGUUUUCUAACUUACUCCUGACGCUCAGGUACGAAAGCUAGGGUAGCAAACGGGAUUAGAUACCCCGGUAGUCCUAGCCGUAAACGAUGGAUACUAGGUGUUGGGGGUUCGACCCCCUCGGUGCCGCAGUUAACGCAUUAAGUAUCCCGCCUGGGGAUUACGACCGCAAGGUUGAAACUCAAAGGAAUUGACGGGGGCCCGCACAAGCGGUGGAGCAUGUGGUUUAAUUCGAUGCAACGCGGAGAACCUUACCAGAACUUGACAUCCCUGUGACUAUUCUUUAAUCAGAAGUUCCUCUUCGGAGGCAUA